GACGAACGCUGGCGGCGUGCUUAACACAUGCAAGUCGAGCGGUAAGGCCCUUUCGGGGGUACACGAGCGGCGAACGGGUGAGUAACACGUGGGCGACCUGCCCUUAGCUCUGGGAUAAGCCUGGGAAACUGGGUCUAAUACCGGAUAUGACUCCAUGACGCAUGUUGUGGGGUGGAAAGCCUUGUGCGGCUAGGGAUGGGCCCGCGGCCUAUCAGCUUGUUGGUGGGGUGAUGGCCACCAAGGCGACGACGGGUAGCCGGCCUGAGAGGGCGACCGGCCACACUGGGACUGAGACACGGCCCAGACUCCUACGGGAGGCAGCAGUGGGGAAUCUUGCGCAAUGGGCGAAAGCCUGACGCAGCGACGCCGCGUGGGGAUGACGGCCUCGGUUGUAAC
RNAcentral lists this ribosomal RNA (396 nucleotides) under uncultured bacterium. RNAcentral describes it as "bacterial SSU rRNA". It matches the Rfam family "Bacterial small subunit ribosomal RNA", at positions 28 to 429 of the family's 1533-position model. The record is from RNAcentral.